AUUGAACGCUGGCGGCAUGCCUUACACAUGCAAGUCGAACGGCAGCACGGGAGCAAUCCUGGUGGCGAGUGGCGAACGGGUGAGUAAUAUAUCGGAACGUGCCCAGUCGUGGGGAUAACGUAGCGAAAGUUACGCUAAUACCGCAUACGAUCUAAGGAUGAAAGCGGGGGAUCGCAAGACCUCGCGCGAUUGGAGCGGCCGAUAUCAGAUUAGGUAGUUGGUGAGGUAAAGGCUCACCAAGCCGACGAUCUGUAGCUGGUCUGAGAGGACGACCAGCCACACUGGACUGAGACACGGCCCAGACUCCUACGGGAGCAGCAGUGGGGAAUUUUGGACAAAUGGGCGCAAGCCUGAUCCAGCAAUGCCGCGUGCAGGAUGAAGGCCUCGGUUGUAACUGACGUUUGUUACGGUAACGGAAACGGUAG
Molecule: ribosomal RNA, 425 nt
Filed under: uncultured bacterium
Lineage: Bacteria
Description: bacterial SSU rRNA
Rfam family: Bacterial small subunit ribosomal RNA
Source: RNAcentral